RNAcentral lists this ribosomal RNA (253 nucleotides) under uncultured bacterium. RNAcentral describes it as "partial 16S ribosomal RNA". It matches the Rfam family "Bacterial small subunit ribosomal RNA", at positions 524 to 776 of the family's 1533-position model. The record is from RNAcentral.
UACGAAGGGGGCUAGCGUUGUUCGGAAUCACUGGGCGUAAAGCGCGCGUAGGCGGAUUGUUAAGUCAGGGGUGAAAUGCCGAGGCUCACCCUCGGAACUGCCUUUGAUACUGGCAAUCUUGAGUCCGGGAGAGGUGAGUGGAACUCCUAGUGUAGAGGUGAAAUUCGUAGAUAUUAGGAAGAACACCAGUGGCGAAGGCGGCUCACUGGCCCGGUACUGACGCUGAUGUGCGAAAGCGUGGGGAGCAAACAGG